UAUCUCUGUAGAGUCUGCAUAUCAAUAAGCGGAGGAAAAGAAACUAACAAGGAUUCCCCUAGUAACGGCGAGUGAAGCGGGAAGAGCUCAAAUUUGAAAUCUUCAAGGUUUGACCUUGACGAAUCGUAGUUUAAAGAAGUGUUUUCGGUUAGAGGAGUAGUAAAAGUUCUUUGGAAUAGGACAUCAUAGAGGGUGAGAAUCCCGUAUUUGACCAUUAUUUUCAGCUGUGUGAUACACUUUCAAAGAGUCGGAUUGUUUGGGAAUGCAGUCCAAAAUGGGUGGUAAAUUUCAUCUAAAGCUAAAUAUUGGCGAGAGACCGAUAGCGAACAAGUACCGUGAGGGAAAGAUGAAAAGAACUUUGAAAAGAGAGUUAAACAGUACGUGAAAUUGUCAAAAGGGAAGCGUUUGACACCAGUGUUGUUUUCUCGAAAAUCAAUUAAAAAUAGUUGGAUUUUGCGUUGUAUUGACCUUAACAGCUUGCUUCACUCUUUUCUUGCUUUUUUUAAUGCACUUUUCGUUUAACAAGUCAACAUCAGUUUCUUUUGUUGUAAGAGGGUCAUUGGAAGGUGGCUUUCUCUUCGGAGAAAGUGUUUAUAGCCUUUGAUCUCUGCAAUCGGAGAGACUGAGGUCUGCAGCGUAGAUCCUUCGGGGUUAGAUACAUUUGUGCUAAGCUACAGCUUUUCAUAGACAACUUGUUGACUAUGUUUAGUCUUGUGACUUACCCGCUUAUGCUAUUUUACCUACGCUUAGGAUGUUGAGCGCAUGUCUCUCUCU
RNAcentral lists this ribosomal RNA (774 nucleotides) under uncultured Neocallimastigales. Its description in RNAcentral is "partial large subunit ribosomal RNA". It matches the Rfam family "Eukaryotic large subunit ribosomal RNA", at positions 24 to 616 of the family's 3401-position model. The record is from RNAcentral. Lineage: Eukaryota; Fungi; Neocallimastigomycota; Neocallimastigomycetes; Neocallimastigales.